Molecule: ribosomal RNA, 253 nt
Filed under: uncultured bacterium
Lineage: Bacteria
Description: partial 16S ribosomal RNA
Rfam family: Bacterial small subunit ribosomal RNA
Source: RNAcentral
UACGGAGGGUGCAAGCGUUGCUCGGAUUUACUGGGCGUAAAGCGCGCGUAGGCGGUUUAGUAAGUCUGGUGUGAAAUCCCACGACUCAAUCGUGGAAGUGCAUUGGAUACUGCUAGACUGGAGUACAGGAGGGGUAGGCGGAAUUCCUGGUGUAGAGGUGAAAUUCGUAGAUAUCAGGAGGAACAACGGCGGCGAAGGCGGCCUACUGGACUGUUACUGACGCUGAGGCGCGAAAGCGUGGGGAGCAAACAGG